CCUACGGGAGGCAGCAGUGAGGAAUAUUGGUCAAUGGGCGAGAGCCUGAACCAGCCAAGUCGCGUGAGGGAGUACUGCCCUAUGGGUUGUAAACCUCUUUUGUCGGGGAGCAAAAGCCGGACGUGUCCGGCUGUGAGAGUACCCGAAGAAAAAGCAUCGGCUAACUCCGUGCCAGCAGCCGCGGUAAUACGGAGGAUGCGAGCGUUAGCCGGAUUUAUUGGGUUUAAGGGGUGCGCAGGCGGAUUUUUAAGUCAGCGGUAAAAUCGUGGGGCUCAACCCCAUCCAGCCGUUGAAACUGGGGAUCUAGAGUGUGCGAGAGGUAUGCGGAAUGCGUGGUGUAGCGGUGAAAUGCAUAGAUAUCACGCAGAACCCCGAUUGCGAAGGCAGCAUACCGGUGCAAAACUGACGCUCAGGCACGAAAGCGUGGGUAUCGAACAGGAUUAGAUACCCGUGUAGUC
This 458-nucleotide ribosomal RNA is filed under the name uncultured bacterium. RNAcentral describes it as "partial 16S ribosomal RNA". It matches the Rfam family "Bacterial small subunit ribosomal RNA", at positions 338 to 795 of the family's 1533-position model. The record is from RNAcentral.